Molecule: ribosomal RNA, 489 nt
Filed under: uncultured bacterium
Lineage: Bacteria
Description: bacterial SSU rRNA
Rfam family: Bacterial small subunit ribosomal RNA
Source: RNAcentral
GGCUGCCUUACACAUGCAAGUCGAACGGUAACAGGUCUUCGGAUGCUGACGAGUGGCGAACGGGUGAGUAAUACAUCGGAACGUGCCCGAUCGUGGGGGAUAACGGAACGAAAGCUUUGCUAAUACCGCAUACGAUCUACGGAUGAAAGCAGGGGACCGCAAGGCCUUGCGCGGACGGAGCGGCCGAUGGCAGAUUAGGUAGUUGGUGGGAUAAAAGCUUACCAAGCCGACGAUCUGUAGCUGGUCUGAGAGGACGACCAGCCACACUGGGACUGAGACACGGCCCAGACUCCUACGGGAGGCAGCAGUGGGGAAUUUUGGACAAUGGGCGAAAGCCUGAUCCAGCCAUGCCGCGUGCAGGAUGAAGGCCUUCGGGUUGUAAACUGCUUUUGUACGGAACGAAAAGACUCCUUCUAAUAAAGGGGGUCCAUGACAGUACCGUAAGAAUAAGCACCGGCUAACUACGUGCCAGCAGCCGCGGUAAUACGU